CGUCGCCCUCCGUGCACACGGGCAGACACCGAGGCGCGCGCGCCCGGGCGUUGGGUCUUGGCUGUCGUCGCUGCUGCGUUCUGUAUAUCGGGAAAUGGUAGGCAGGCGCUCAAUACACGUUUGCAGAACAAAUGAAAAAAAUGACCUUUCAUAUGGGCUGUAGAUGCCACCCUUUCUCCAGUCACCCAGGAGAAAGCGCUCACCCCAAAGCUCUGUAUCCAGCCAAGCCCGCGCCCACCUUCCAGCAACUACCCGGACACAGGAGGCAAAUUCAUGGUGCUGGAGGCCCUAGCGCGCCCAGGCGGGCUGCGCCCGGACUGCAUUUCGUUUGCAGCUCCCUCGGAGGGCUCGGAGAGCGCAGCGCUAUUCUGACAUCCAAGUUCCGCGAAGUCAUGGCCCCAUUGCUGUUGAAACCCUGUGUCCUUUUCCCCCCGAGGUGGCGGCUGGGCUGUGCCCGGCAUUGAGACCUGGGAAGUGCCCCCCGGCUCCCACGUUUUCUGCUCACCGAAAUACUGGACGCAUCUCCUUAGCUUACGCUGCUUUAUCACAGUCCUUUUAACAGCGUUUCAGAAAAACACGUGUAAUUUUAACCUGUGAAAAUUAGAGUAGGACCUUCCCCCAGGGCUUGCGUGAAGAAUACGAGAUAUAAUGCCGGUUACAGAAACGUUGUGAACUUUUACGAAAUGAUAUUAUGAUUGCUGUAUUAAAUUCUAAAGAAAUUCUAUUUGGCCUCAGCUGACUUUGUAAUAUUAACUGACAAGUUUCAAUGUUUCACAAGGUGUUUUUAUACACAUUUUCUUUGAUAUUCACGGAGGUUAGUAGGUGUAUUGAAUGAUAGAACAGACAGAUCCACUUCAAAUACGGGGUACAUUUGUUUAACUUCUCUAAACCUCAGCUUUUUAGUCUACGAGAUGAAGAUAAGGGGAGUUGUGCGGAUUAAAUAAAAUGCUCAUGUAAGUGCUUAGUUCAAAUAUUAGCUCAGUGGUGUUAAAUGACCUGCUCACUCUGCAUGGAUGGUUGAUUUAAGUGUAGGAGCAGAACAGACAAAAUUUAUGUUCAUAGUUGACAACUUUGUGGUCGUGUUCCCUCUGACACGAUGGCUGGACCUAUUUAUUUCAAUCCUGUCUAUGUUUUGUGUUCAUAUAGUGUUAUGUGAUCAAGCAAUAAAACUGUCAUUGCA
This is a long non-coding RNA of Myotis davidii, 1180 nucleotides long. RefSeq lists it as uncharacterized. The record is from RefSeq and is a predicted model, not a curated record. The transcript is spliced from 2 exons. NCBI's taxonomy places the organism in Eukaryota, Metazoa, Chordata, Mammalia, Chiroptera, Vespertilionidae.